CUGCAAAGGGUCAACUCAAGGUCUAUUUAAGGUUGAAAUCUUAUAUGGGACUUGAAUGGGAAACAGGACUUUCACAGGGUGAAUUUCAUCCUAGUAAAGCAAGAAUGUGAUUGACCCACUUCAUGUGGUUUUCUUGGUAGAAGUAGAUCUUAAUGAGGAGUGCGUAAUGGCACUCAGUCUUGCUUUGGUUCUCCUUUUAGGCCUGUCUACUUCCAGAUCUCAUGCUAGUACAACAAACAUGUUCUGCUGAACUAGCUUCAUCUACGUAUAACUCCUGGCUUCCCCAUACAACAGCAGAGCAGGUCUGGCAGGAGCAGCACAAGCCUCCAUACAUGGGGCCUGACUCACCACUAUGUUACUCCACUAUCCCUUCUUGUGCGGUGGAUGCUUGUUUGCUGAAGCACCUCUGCCAAUAUCCAGUGUGGCUGCUGGGAGCAGGGGCUGGGGCCAAGAAGAGAGGUUUUUGCUCUCUGUGCCAUUCUCCUCCAGACUCAGCAGAUUCCCAUAAAGCUGCUUGACGACGCAUUAGGGGUGGUGUCAUAAACAGAUUGUUAAGGGUUAAUGUCUCUUGUACCUGUAAAGGGUUACAAGCAGGGAACUGGACACCUGACCAGAAGACCAAUCAGAAGACAAGAUACUUUUAAAUUUGGGUGGAGGAAGCUUUUGUGUGUGUUCUUUGUCCGUUGUGUGUUCUUCUCUCGGAGGGUCUGAGACAGACCAGACAUUACUACAGGCUCUUUAAGUUUCUUUCCAAAUAGUAAGUAAAAACAGGCGGUUUAGGCUUUUUGAUUGUUUUACUCUAUUUGCAAUUGUGGAUUUGGCUGGUUAACUUUUAUAUGUGUAGUUGCUAGGAAUAUUUUGAUUUGUAUUGGUACUGGGG
RNAcentral lists this long non-coding RNA (880 nucleotides) under Gopherus agassizii (Agassiz's desert tortoise). RNAcentral's name for it is "lncRNA (ENSGAGG00000002906.1)". The record is from RNAcentral. Lineage: Eukaryota; Metazoa; Chordata; Testudines; Testudinidae.